This 751-nucleotide non-coding RNA is filed under the name Marchantia polymorpha subsp. ruderalis. RNAcentral's name for it is "Eukaryotic small subunit ribosomal RNA". It matches the Rfam family "Eukaryotic small subunit ribosomal RNA", at positions 70 to 946 of the family's 1831-position model. The record is from Rfam by way of RNAcentral. Lineage: Eukaryota; Viridiplantae; Streptophyta; Marchantiopsida; Marchantiales; Marchantiaceae.
CAUUUUCGGAAAGAAUUGAACGUUUUUGUUCUGUUCGUAUAUACUGCACAGUCAACUUUUGUUGCGUGAAACUACGAACGGCUCAUUCAAUAAGUUAUAGUUUCUUUAAUGGUACUUUACUACUGGGAUAAUCUUUCUAAUUCUAGAACUAAUACGUGCACCAAGGUUGUUUUUUCAGAAAGAAUACCAAUACGGGGCUUGCUCCAGUGUUUCGUCAAUCAUUAUUACUCGAUGAAUCGCACGUUAGUUUCUUUCACUCAAAUUCCCGAAGAGGGAGACACAUCCGAAGAAGGCAGCAGGUGCGCAAAUUACCCAAUCCCGACACGGUGAGAGGUAGUGACAUUAAAUAAGAUUACUGGGACAAUGAUUAGAAUGAAUACAAUGUAAAUCCCAUAACGAGGAUCCAUUGGAGAUCAAGUCUGGUGCCAGUAGCCAAGGUAAUCCCAGUUCCCACAUCGUAUAUUUAAGUUGUUGCACUUUAAAAUGCUCGUAGUUUGAUCUUGGGAGGGAUCGGCGGUCCGCCUCUUUUGGUGUGCACUGGCGGCCCCUUUCUGGUCCUGUCGCGGAGUCGGCGAUGCUACUCUGAAAUAUUUAGAGUGCUCAAAGCAAGCCAUACGCUCUGAAUACACCAGCAUGGAAUAACGCGACAAGACUCUGGUCUUCGGGACCGGAGUGAUGAUUAAUAGGGACAGUCCCGAACAGAACGACUCGGUUUGAUAGCGAGCGACAUUUGUGUGGGAUGCGAUGCUGC